CCUUUCUCUGUUAAGAACGGGUUUUCUGGGUUGGGUUCGUGUUUUGCAGUAACGAGGACGCCGUGAGCGGACUCGCUUGUGCGUCCCUUGGUGCCUCUGUUUGUUCCCCGAGAGGAUGUUAUGGGAUUGCGCCCCACGCUCAGUCCCCGCCCGCCCUGGCCCUGGUUCUGGGCGGAGGCGCCCGGCUCACGUGGCCGCCCCUGAUGAAGCCUGUGUUGGUAGGGACAUCUGAGAGCGCUGAUGAAUGCCAACGGCUCUGAUGGCGGCUCGGGCCCGGAGCCGCGUGCCGCAGUGCGGCGUGCUGAACGCGCUCCGAGCCCGGUGGGUCGGGGCCCGAGCAGGUGCAUCAGCCUGUGCCUUUCCUCCGGAGUCCCCCGGCCUGUGCCUGCCUUCCAGGAGUCCCCCCGCCUGUCCUUUUCUUCCAAGAGUCUCCUGGCCUGUCCCCGGCCUCCGGGGGUCCCCCCCUCCUGUCCUUGUCGUCCGGCUUGUCCCCGUCCGACCGGGGUCCCCCGGCCUGUCCCUGUCCUUGUCCUCCGGCAGUCUCCCAACCUGUCCUCUAGGACUCCCCCAGCCUGUCCCUGUCCUCCGGGAGUCCCCCCUCCUGUCCCUGUCUUCCGGGGGUCCCCCAGCCUGUCCCUGUCUUCCAGGAGGCCCAGCAGAUGGGGAUGCAGCGCGCCUGGACAGGCCUCGCGGACAAGUUCCGUGCCAGUGCCAAGGACCAGGAGAAAAUGAGGUCUUGGCCGUGUGUCCGCAGCUGAGGGGUCUCUGGAGCCAUGCGGCUGACGGGGUGCUAACGCCAGAAGCUGGGACUGGAAAAUGGUGAGGCCUUGCUUUUGCCUGGAGCGGCUGUCACUCGUCGUCUACCUGUUGCUUCCUGUGGAUUGCUGAGGCUGUGGGUAAUGAGAAGUGUGGCAUCGAGGGGUGUGGGCCUCCAGCACGGGGGAUGCGGUCCACGGAAGUGACUCUUGGCAGGUGCAGAGCCUGGAUCCUGCUUGCAGGUGUGUGUCUCUGCAGAUUUGGGUGGUUUGAGAGGAAGAGGCUGUUGAUGAUGUACAUUAACAGAUGGGAAUCUCUCUGAAAGGGGAUGAGGACUCCAUUCUACACUGAAACAGUGGCAGAGAGCUUUCAGAAAAUGUCAGUUAACUGCCUGCUGCUAAGUUUGCCUACAUUUUUGCAGGUCUGACACGUGAGCUUGGCACAUGCAGGACCAGGUCUUGAAGCACAGGAACAAGGAGGGACAUUUGGAGAAGCUAAUGGAUUUGUGUGCCCCUACCGUGGAGACAUGAAGGUCUUCUGUGACUGCCCUGAGAUGCCACCCCCAGGAAAGGUGAGGGCCAGAACAAACAUCCAUUCUAAACACCAGAAUACAUGAUGAUCUCACCCACGCUUGAACUCUCUCACUGACAACCUGAUGGAGAGGCUAACAGAUCUGAUAUUCUGGCCAGCAGUCGCUAGCAUGGCUGUGUGCAUCUGCUGUGUGGUUGAUGGUCUGUCUUUCUUGCAGGGAGCUGUUGCAUGCUUGUGGGAGAGAUGGCGAACAUCUGAAAUAGCAAUAAAUUUUUGCAAACAA
Ochotona curzoniae (black-lipped pika) is the source of this 1570-nucleotide long non-coding RNA. RefSeq lists it as uncharacterized. The record is from RefSeq and is a predicted model, not a curated record. The transcript has 8 exons. NCBI's taxonomy places the organism in Eukaryota, Metazoa, Chordata, Mammalia, Lagomorpha, Ochotonidae.